Molecule: ribosomal RNA, 406 nt
Filed under: uncultured bacterium
Lineage: Bacteria
Description: partial 16S ribosomal RNA
Rfam family: Bacterial small subunit ribosomal RNA
Source: RNAcentral
AUUGAACGCUGGCGGCAGGCCUAACACAUGCAAGUCGAGCGAGCGGCGGACGGGUGAGUAAUGUAUGGGGAUCUGCCCGAUGGAGGGGGAUAACUACUGGAAAAGGUGGCUAAUACCGCAUACGAUCCGAUGAACCCAGAUGGGAUUAGCUAGUAGGUGGGGUAAAGGCUCACCUAGGCGACGAUCCCUAGCUGGUCUGAGAGGAGUAUCCGCCACACUUGGACUGAGACACGGCCCAGACUCCUACGGGAGGCAGCAGUGGGGAAUAUUGCCCAAUGUGCGCAAGCCUGAUGCAGCCAUGCCGCUUGUAUGAAGCAGGCCUUAGGGUUUUAAAUUACUUUCAGCGGGGAGGCGUUACCCGCAGAAGAAGCCCCCGCUAACUCCGUGCCAGCCGCCGCGGUAAUUC